GUCAUCUAACGAACCCCCACCAGCACCAGACCAAUCUCACUCCUCGCUUAGCCUGCACAUUUAGAAAUACAUGCAGGGCGUGAGUAUAUAAUACUCAGUGGGCAAACGCCGAAAAACAAGAAAGGUGCUCUUAGAGCUAUAAGUUUGAAGCUUGCCACAUCUCAGCAAUACACAGAAAUAAGUUAGUAUCAAUGAAUCUGUGCAUGCAGUUUUCAUAAUCAACAUCAUAAAUAAGUAACUGCGCAGUUUAAACAUUCAUCAUGUAUGUACCACAUCCACUACUCAUCAUCAAAGGUACUGAGAAGUAGGCCUCCCUCUCAAGUACCGUGACCGGCCGACCCGAAGACGGCUCACAGUCACCUCUGUGCACAAAAUCCCGCUUGUGGCAGGACCGAAUUCGUCUCAUCAGUAGAGGGUAACACACAAGCUCAACAUCAAAAAUUGGCAAGUCAAACAGUUCUCAAACAUCAUUUAUCUCAAAACAUUUGAUAAGUUCUUAACAUCAUUACAUCAUUUUAAAAAGCUCAUAUGAUAAACAUAUACUCAAAAUAUUGCCCACCUGAAGACCUUACUCAAAAACUCCCGUCAAAGCGGAGUUACUUACUUCCUUGCUCUGCUUGUGUCUUCAGGGAUCAUUGUCAUCAUCGAAGGUUCAUGUCAUAAAAUGAAUCCCGAUUAGAAACUCAACGACAAAAACUCAUGCUUCAACUCAUGCUCUAUAUUAUAUUCUAUCUCCUUAAUCAACUCUACAUAAACUCUUCACUCAUUUCAAAUCCUUAAGUCCAAGGAUAGGUUUCAAGAAAAUCAUGGUUCUAAGUCUCGAUUCAUCUCUCAUAUAAGACUCGUCUAAUCUCAUUCAAACACUUAGGCAACAUAAACACAUAAGGCACAUAAGAAAAUACAAUCAAACAUCAACAAAUCAUGUCCUGUUUUUACACAGACUCGACUUCAAACUUUAACACGUUCUGACUCCGACAUCCCCUGGAUUCCAGACUCAUACCAAAAGAAAGGUAUUUGAGUCUAGUUUCAUUUAAAAAAAAGUAGAGUCAGAAACUCCAAGUGGUUUGGGGAGAUAUGACUGUUUUACUACAGUCUACCAUAUUCGGCAGUUUUGAGCAAUCGAAAAGUUUGAUUUUUCAAAAAUAGUAAACGUUGUCAAACUGCGCUCAAAUUUGGUGGAUAUCUAGCCCAUACAGUAACGUUGAUACCAUAAAAAUUUGGAAAGCUAAUUCACACAGGAAGUCACUGAAAUGAAUGACUUUGUCCCCCUGUUCUCUGAAAUUCCCGGCAGAAAUGUGCAGAUUUGGUUUUGCAUUUUAUAAAAAUGUAAAUCAAGUCCAAAUGACUUGAAAUUUUACAGAGGUGCUCAAGACUCAUGUAGGGACAUUCUCUAAAAUUUUCAAAGCUUUAAGACAUCGACAAACCGUCGAUCACAGUAGGUCAGUAGCCUACGAAAAAUCACCAAAAAUUCAUUCCCAACUCUUAAAUGCUCAAAUCAACAUUCCUUCAAAGAAAACCAAUCAAAGCUCAUUUUAAACACAUAUAACACUCAAAAACAUUCAAAAACAUUAAAAAACUCAUCAUACUCAAAUCAAAUCUCCUCUUACAUCUAAACUCAAAUCUCAAGGAAAACGUUUCUACAACGCAUCAAGUAAAUCCUCUUCUCAAUUUCAUGCUUAAACACUCAAUCAUUCAAAAUGACCUCAUACUUCAUAUACUAUUUACACAUAUACUUCCCUUUUAUCAUGUAAACUAACUCUAGUGAAAACUCAUAUAUCAACAUAAAAUUCUCAACAAAAGCAUGACAUCUUCACAUAAUGGUCAUAGAUCAAAAUAGACCACAUUUAAACAAUCGAUGACUUCUCAAAAUAUGAAACUCAAAAAUUCUCAUAAACUAACUCAAGUCAAAUUUUUACUAGUUAACAAUAGACUUAAUCAUACAUAAUUAUAUACUAACAUCAUGCUCAAUUACACAUAGCUUAAGCUAAAUCACUUAAUAGACACAUAGACAAGAAGAUCCUAAUUUUUNAUUAAACUAAACUCUAAGAAAUUUUAUAAACUCACAUGGAUCUUUAAUCUCAUCAUAUAUCUAUCAAUCUUAACCAUUUAAACUCACAUAUACUCCAUCAAUUUACAAAUUUGAGCAUAGAUGCACAUAGCCCUAAUUUUAGUAAGCUAACUCAUAUCAAAAUCAUCAUUUGACAACAUAUACUCAAUUUACUCCAUCAAUCAUCAUCAUAUACAUCUCAUGGACUCAUAUUCAUCAUCAAUUCAUCACUUUAAUCAUCAACCCAAAAAUUCCCAAAUUUGGGGUAAACUAAACUCAUCGAAUCUUUACAUCUCAAAACAUAGUUUUUCAAAACACACCUCAAUCAUCACCAAACAUCACAUAGAUCACUUUUCUCACCUCAAUUCAAGGAAAGAAGAAGAAAAAUUUUUGAAGGGUAGAACACCCAAAUUUUCGAAAAUUAUGAAGAAAAAGGGAGGGGGUGAUUUCUUGCUCCAAUCCUUCAAAUAAACUCAUAUACAAACUCAUACAAAUUAUAUCUAUAAAUAUAGAGAUUACUUACUCAAGUUCUUCACCAAAACUCAAACUUUCUCUCUCUAGUCUUGAAGCCUUCCUUCAAGGAUUCUCUUGAAUUCAAAUUAAUAGGAUGUGUUUAUGGAGGAUUUAAGUAGUGAUUUAUGUGUUUGGCAUACUUGGGNAUUUAAAAAAAAGUAGAGUCAGAAACUCCAAGUGGUUUGGGAGAUAUGGCGUUUUUACCACGGUCUACCAUAUUCGGCAGUUUUGAGCAAUCGGAAACAUUGAUUUUUUUAAAAUAGUAAACGUUGUCAAACGGAGCUCAAAUUUGGUGGAUAUCUAGCCCAUACAGUAAGGUUGAUACCAUAAAAAUUUGGAAAGCUAUAUCACACAGGAAGUCACUGAAAUGAAUGACUUUGUCCCCUGUUCUCUGAAAUUCCCGGCAGAAAUGUGCAGAUUUGGUUUUGCAUUUUAUAAAAAUAGUAAAUCAAGUCCAAAUGACUUGAAAUUUUACAGAGGUGCUCAAGACUCAUGUAGGGACAUUCUGUAAACUUUUCAAAGCUUUUUGACAUCGACAAAUCGUCGAUCACAGUAGGUCAGUAGCCUACGAAAAAUCAUCAAAAACUCAUCUCAAACUCUUAAAUGCUCAAUUCAACAUUCCCCUCAAGGAAAACCAAUCAAAGCUCAAUUUAAACACAUAUAACACUCAAAAACAUUCAAAAGCAUUAAAAUACUCAUCAUACUCAAAUUAACUCUCCUCUUUUACAUCUUAACUCAAAUCUCAAGGGAAACGUUUCAACAACGUAUCAAUCAAUUCUCUUUUCAAUCUCAUGCUCAAAAACACUCAAUCAUUCAAAAUGACCUCAUACCUCAUGUAACUCAUUUUACACAUAUAAAUCCCCUAUAAUCAUGCCAACUAAACUACUAUAAAAAACUACAUAUAUCCACAUAAAACUCACAUUAAAACAUGACAAAUUUCACAUAAUGGUCAUAAAGCAAUUUAGACCUCAUUUUAUCAAUCAUCGACUUCUUAAAAUAUAGAAACUCCAAAAUUCUCAUAAACUAACUCAAGUCAAAUUUUUACUUAGUUAACAAUAGACUUAAUCAUACAUAAUUAUACACUAACAUCAUGCUCAAUUACACAUAUCUUAAGCUAAAUCACUUAAUAGACACAUAGACAAGAAGAUCCUAAUUUUUAUUAAACUAAACUCUAAGAAAUUUUAUAAACUCACAUGGAUCUUUAAUCUCAUCAUAUAUCUAUCAAUCUUAACCAUUUAAACUCACAUAUACUCCAUCAAUUUACAAAUUUGAGCAUAGAUGCACAUAGCCCUAAUUUUAGUAAGCUAACUCAUAUCAAAAUCAUCAUUUGACAACAUAUACUCAAUUUACUCCAUCAAUCAUCAUCAUAUACAUCUCAUGGACUCAUAUUCAUCAUCAAUUCAUCACUUUAAUCAUCAACCCAAAAAUUCCCAAAUUUGGGGUAAACUAAACUCAUCGAAUCUUUACAUCUCAAAACAUAGUUUUUCAAAACACACCUCAAUCAUCACCAAACAUCACAUAGAUCACUUUUCUCACCUCAAUUCAAGGAAAGAAGAAGAAAAAUUUUUGAAGGGUAGAACACCCAAAUUUUCGAAAAUUAUGAAGAAAAAGGGAGGGGGUGAUUUCUUGCUCCAAUCCUUCAAAUAAACUCAUAUACAAACUCAUACAAAUUAUAUCUAUGAACAUGGAGAUCACUUACCCAAGUUUUCACCAAUUAUCCAAAUUUUCUCUCACUAUUCUUGAAACCAAUCUUCAAGGAUUCUCUUGGAUUUAAGUUAAUAGGAUGUGUUUAUGGAGGAUUUAAGUAGUGAUUUAUGUGUUUGGCAUACUUGGG
RNAcentral lists this long non-coding RNA (4394 nucleotides) under Salvia miltiorrhiza (redroot sage). RNAcentral's name for it is "long non-coding RNA (SMIL_LNC008167)". Lineage: Eukaryota; Viridiplantae; Streptophyta; Magnoliopsida; Lamiales; Lamiaceae. The record is from RNAcentral.